RNAcentral lists this ribosomal RNA (367 nucleotides) under uncultured bacterium. Its description in RNAcentral is "bacterial SSU rRNA". It matches the Rfam family "Bacterial small subunit ribosomal RNA", at positions 527 to 896 of the family's 1533-position model. RNAcentral also lists the same sequence under 1 other name. The record is from RNAcentral.
GUAGGUGGCAAGCGUUGUCCGGAUUUAUUGGGUUUAAAGGGUGCGUAGGUGGCCCUGUAAGUCAGUGGUGAAAUAUCUCAGCUUAACUGAGAGGGUGCCAUUGAUACUGCAGGGCUUGAGUACAGAUGAGGUAGGCGGAAUUGACGGUGUAGCGGUGAAAUGCAUAGAUAUCGUCAAGAACACCGAUAGCGAAGGCAGCUUACCAAGCUGUAACUGACACUGAGGCACGAAAGUGUGGGGAUCAAACAGGAUUAGAUACCCUGGUAGUCCACACUGUAAACGUUGAUGACUCGAUGUUGGCGAUACACAGCCAGCGUCCAAGAGCAAUCGUUAAGUCAUCCACCUGGGGAGUACGCCGGCAACGGUG